GAUGAACGCUGGCGGCAUGCCUAAUACAUGCAAGUCGAGCGAACAGAUGAGGAGCUUGCUCCUCUGACGUUAGCGGCGGACAGGUGAGUAAAACGUGGAUAACCUACCUAUAAGACUGGGAUAACUUCGGGAAACCGGAGCUAAUACCGGAUAAUAUAUUUAACCGCAUGGUUCAAUAGUGAAAGACGGUUUUGCUGUCACUUAUAGAUGGAUCCGCGCCGCAUUAGCUAGUUGGUAAGGUAACGGCUUACCAAGGCAACGAUGCGUAGCCGACCUGAGAGGGGGAUCGGCCCAAUUGGAACUGAGAACCGGUCCAGACUCCUACGGGAGGCAGCAGUAGGGAAUCUUCCGCAACGGGCGAAAGCCUGACGGAGCAACGCCGCGUGAGUGAUGAAGGUCUUCGGAUCGUAAAACUCUGUUAUUAGGGAAGAACAAAUGUGUAAGUAACUAUGCACGUCUUGACGGUACCUAAUCAGAAAGCCACGGCUAACUACGUG
RNAcentral lists this ribosomal RNA (497 nucleotides) under uncultured bacterium. RNAcentral describes it as "partial 16S ribosomal RNA". It matches the Rfam family "Bacterial small subunit ribosomal RNA", at positions 28 to 507 of the family's 1533-position model. The record is from RNAcentral.